GGCGGCGGGCGGCGGGCGGAAGGCAUCACUUUGUCCGGACUCUAAUUCAAAUUGUAUUCAUCCGAUCUUCACCAAACUUGGUCAGCAGUUGCAUCUAGUUGAUAUCUAGGCCAAGUUCGAAUAUGGGUCAUGCCGGGUCAAAAACUAGGUCAUAGGGUCAAUAAGUGCAUUUUCAAAGGGGCCACUUUGUCCGGACUCUAUUUCAAAUUGUAUUCAUCCGAUCUUCACCAAACUUGGUCAGCAGUUGCAUCUAGUUGAUAUAUAGGCCAAGUUCGAAUAUGGGUCAUGCCGGGUCAAAAACUAGGUCAUAGGGUCAAUUAGUGCAUUUUCAACGGCGCCACUUUGUCCGGACUCUAAUUCAAAUUGUAUUCAUCCGAUCUUCACCAAACUUGGUCAGAAGUUGUAUCUAGACAAUAUCUAGGUCAAGUUCGAAUAUGGGUCAUGCCGGGUCAAAAACUAGGUCACAGGGUCACUUAAACCAUUUCAAGCAUUUAGCAUGGUGUCCGCUCUCUAAUUGAAGUAGUUAUCAUCCGAUCUUCACCAAAUUUGGUCAGAAGUUGUGUCUAGACAAUAUCUACAUGUAGGUCAAG
Molecule: long non-coding RNA, 590 nt
Organism: Dreissena polymorpha
Lineage: Eukaryota; Metazoa; Mollusca; Bivalvia; Myida; Dreissenidae
Exons: 2
Source: RefSeq, a predicted model, not a curated record